This is a ribosomal RNA of 610 nucleotides. The stretch from base 522 to 610 matches the Rfam family "Eukaryotic large subunit ribosomal RNA", at positions 1 to 89 of the family's 3401-position model.
CUAGCUGCGUGAAUUAAUGUGAAUUGCAGAACACAUUGAACAUCGACACCUUGAACGCACAUGGCGGCUUCGGGUUUACCCCGGGGCCACGCCCGUCUGAGGGUCGGUUGGCUAAAGCGAUCGCUACCUUGUCCGUAAAUUUUUUUUUUGUCCGGUUUCUGUCAUUUCUCGGGCUCUCGCGAGAUUGUGCAUGAGACUGGUACAUCAAAAUAAUUUUGGUAGCGCAUUGGGCCUUCGUGAAUAGCGUACGGUUAGCGCCCUUGCUCUCUGCGCUUCGUCGCAUGUUCUCGUGGCUUUAAGUACAGGAUGCGCCGUCGUCCUAUCUGUCCUACGAGAUGCUGCUCGCCUCGUCGGUGGUCUCUCGCUGCGCGACAGGUACCCGGCUCGUGCUUUAAAAGCGAGCUGUACGGACCUGGGACGCGCGUGAAAUGUUCGGGAGAUGGGCCGCAUAGCAGCGAUUCGUUCGGACUUACGGCGUCCGUCUUACACAUUAAUUUGUGUGGCGUGAAACAUUUUUUAUCCGACCUCAGAUCGGACGAGAUUACCCGCUGAAUUUAAGCAUAUUACUAAGCGGAGGAAAAGAAACUAACAAGGAUUUCCCUAGUAACGG